CGAAUGCGAGGUCUUCGGACCCUGCAUGGCAGACGGCUGAGUUACGCGUAGGUACUUACCCCUGACAUGAGGAUAACUCCCGGAAACGGGAAGUAAUACUCAAUAGUUUCUUCGGAAUAAAGCUCCGGCGGUCAGGGAUAGGCCUGCGUCCUAUCAGAUUGUUGGUAAGGUAAUGGCUUACCAAGUCUAUGACGGGUAGGGGGCCUGAGAGGGCGUACCCCCAGACUGGGACUGUGACACGGCCCAG
Molecule: ribosomal RNA, 247 nt
Filed under: uncultured bacterium
Lineage: Bacteria
Description: partial 16S ribosomal RNA
Rfam family: Bacterial small subunit ribosomal RNA
Source: RNAcentral